RNAcentral lists this ribosomal RNA (573 nucleotides) under Saccharomyces cerevisiae (brewer's yeast). Its description in RNAcentral is "partial large subunit ribosomal RNA". It matches the Rfam family "Eukaryotic large subunit ribosomal RNA", at positions 62 to 648 of the family's 3401-position model. Lineage: Eukaryota; Fungi; Ascomycota; Saccharomycetes; Saccharomycetales; Saccharomycetaceae. The record is from RNAcentral.
AAACCAACCGGGGAUUGCCUUAGUAACGGCGAGUGAAGCGGCAAAAGCUCAAAUUUGAAAUCUGGUACCUUCGGUGCCCGAGUUGUAAUUUGGAGAGGGCAACUUUGGGGCCGUUCCUUGUCUAUGUUCCUUGGAACAGGACGUCAUAGAGGGUGAGAAUCCCGUGUGGCGAGGAGUGCGGUUCUUUGUAAAGUGCCUUCGAAGAGUCGAGUUGUUUGGGAAUGCAGCUCUAAGUGGGUGGUAAAUUCCAUCUAAAGCUAAAUAUUGGCGAGAGACCGAUAGCGAACAAGUACAGUGAUGGAAAGAUGAAAAGAACUUUGAAAAGAGAGUGAAAAAGUACGUGAAAUUGUUGAAAGGGAAGGGCAUUUGAUCAGACAUGGUGUUUUGUGCCCUCUGCUCCUUGUGGGUAGGGGAAUCUCGCAUUUCACUGGGCCAGCAUCAGUUUUGGUGGCAGGAUAAAUCCAUAGGAAUGUAGCUUGCCUCGGUAAGUAUUAUAGCCUGUGGGAAUACUGCCAGCUGGGACUGAGGACUGCGACGUAAGUCAAGGAUGCUGGCAUAAUGGUUAUAUGCCGC